Alligator mississippiensis (American alligator) is the source of this 2962-nucleotide long non-coding RNA. RefSeq lists it as uncharacterized. The transcript is spliced from 2 exons. The record is from RefSeq and is a predicted model, not a curated record. NCBI's taxonomy places the organism in Eukaryota, Metazoa, Chordata, Crocodylia, Alligatoridae.
UUGAUUUGUUACUUUUUGUAUAUUUUUGUUAAUUUUUAUAAUAUUCAGAGUAGCAAUUUAUUAUGCCAAGAUUUUCUUUUUCUCAAGUCAGGGACACCUCCCAAAGAUGCAUAUAGAGUCUGAAUAAAAUAGUAGCCAUUGUCUUAUUUGAUCAAGUUGCUGAAUGCUUUUACAGAUGGAACAUUCGGAAGGAACGGUAAUGCAAAUAGGGGCUCUUUCUCAAGGCAUAAACAAUCUCACGAAUAUGCUAAGCCAAGAUGAAAUGCUGAAUGACAAUAGAUUUUUAACACCCACCUUUGAAGACUGGAGAUGAUGCUUCAGCAUGAUCAAGAACACUAAUACCUCACACACACAUCCAGAUAAGUGGCCAAGGAAACUGGGUGCUAUAUGGCAGAAGAUAGCGUAUGCUUUUCUGCAAAUGAGAUAAACUUUAUAUGUCGUUAAUACAGCAACACGUUACAGGUAAAGAAAAAUACACUGGGUACCCUAAUAAGUAUUUUUACCUAGAUGUUAAAAAAAAAAAAAACUAUGCAAAAUUAUUUCUCAUCCAGAGCUGAGAAACAAGACCAGUAAAAGAUGUCUUUGCAGAUAUAUGGUGAAUUUGUGCACAGCUGCAAGCAAACUUUUAUAAUUUUGUACUUUUAUAAUUACUUCCACAUAGGGAUUAAUGCCAGUAGAUUGGCACCAUAGCCACAGGUUCAGAGUCUUCCUGAGUUAAGUAAAAGCAAUGAGGACAAGCCUUUAAUAAUUCCAACUGCUCCUUUUCUCCUUGACCAAAUGGUGCAGCAGGUGCUAUCUUGGGGUCUGGCAGACAGCUACAAUGUUUACAGAACUGUUGCUGUAUAGACAGGGCUAGUUUAGGAGCUUGAGAGUCUCCAGAGAAAUUGUCAGUGGGGGAGCAGAAACUUUGUUCCCUCCUCUUGUACCUCCAUUUGUCUCCGCUUUCUCUGUCCUGCUUAUAACAUUGGGAUGGAGAGAGAAGACAGAUAAGCUUUCACACCUUGUGAAUAGCCAGUAGCGGAAGUGGGAUGAUGUAGUGGGCAUGUUCCCAGAAUAGGCCAGGAAGGAACACAUUAAUCCUUACUAUGCUUUUUCUCUCUCUGCCUAAAACCAGCAACAAUUAGAAGGACAAUUUAAGACUCUCAGGAAAGAUGAGGGACUCAAAAGGCUACUUUGCUUAGUUUUGCUUGAUGCUUACUAUAAACACUGAGUGUGCUCAGUCAGGGAACAGACCUAACACCCAGCAAAGACAGCCUGCAUGUUGACUUUCUCCGACCCGGGUUCAACACUCCCCCUGCAGUUGCUUUGAAGUGCGUGCAAUGGAACUGGCAGCACAGCACAGGGUUUGUUGCAAGUGACAACAGUUCCUUGUACAAAUGGAAGGUUUUAGGAAGUUCUACUGUAUAUAGCCUUCUCCUAUAAAUAGCAAAAUGUAAGGAAGUACUAAUGGGCCAGUGGGCUCUGAACAUUUUGAACUUGCCUGAACUGAGAGUCAGAAUGGCAUACAGAAUGGAGUUCCCAGAACUCAGAACAAGCAAUUGGAGGUGAUCAGCUGUGAGCCCUUUACCAGCCACUUCCCUUCUGUCACUGAAUUACUUUCAUGCUACUGUAAGUAAUUAAAUGUAUAUGAACUUUGGAUAGUCUCAUAACAGAGAUUUGGUCAGAAACAAGCUGUGAUGUUUGCAUGAGAACCCGGUGAUUCUUUUUGUAAACCUUAUGCUGUGUUUUGUUUUAUUUUGUUUCUGCUUCUGUUUGCUCGCUCCCUUCAUUUCAGAUUCAUAUGUAUGCUUUCAUACAACGCUACCUUAAUAUAACAGCAGCAAACAAGUCAGUGCAUGCGUAAUGUGCAAAGGGUGACUAACACAGCAAAACUAGUGUUUGUAAAGUUUUUUGUUUAAAAAUUCUCAUGCUGAUCAAAUCAGUUCUUUAUGGCAACUCCAUAUUUGUUAUCAGAAUAUCAGGGGUAUAUUUUUGUAAACUGGGAAAUUAACCCAGUUUUAAAACAAAGGGAGUUGGUAUUGAAAUGCAUAAAGGGCUUGAGCUAUUUUUUCAAGGGUGGUUCUCUCUCUUGUUUGCAAGAUGGUUUCAUUGUGUGUUACAAGGUGCCUAGAGCAGUGGUUCUCAAAGUUUUUAGAUUCAAGGCACCACAGCACAACUUCUGUGAACUGACUGGCAUCCUAUUUCAAAACUAAAUUUUAGUGCUUGCCUCCUUGCAGAGGGACUAGGCAGUAGAGGUUGGGGAGUGCUGAGCCUGCAAUUAUCUUAUUGCUUAUCCCCUCACACCUUGCAACAGCCUUCAAAGGAUCUUAUGGCACCUCAGAGUACCUGGUUGAGAAUCAGCGAUCUAGAUUACAACAGAUAAUUUAGCCAGCGGGCAUGUCAGUGCCAGGCAUGAUCCUGUCCACUAAGCAGCAUAUCUGGAGUGUAUUAUAUUAGGUACUGUUCAAAGUGAGUAAGAGGUAUUUCUUACUCCUUAACUAACCACACAGAUUUUACUGAGAGCACUUGAAGAGUCCUUACUGAACAUAUUCCCAUUUGUGACUCUAAAGCCAAUGGGAACCUAAGUGACUUUUUAUGAAGUCUCGUUUGCCACUUCACCUCAGAAAGCUUUUGUAUAGGAAUUAAAGCAGCUAUUUUCCAUCAUGUCUAUUGCUGUAUAAAGGAUACGGUGAAAUUGUUUAAUUUAUAUACUUGACAAAGACUGGGAUUUCCAUGGGAAAGUCCCAUUGGAGUCAGUGGGAUCAGUUACACCUCCACUCAGUGCUUUCGAAAGGCAAGGAGUGUUAAUUAUCAGCACAGCGGACACUAAGCAUCUGAAAUGUUCAGUGAUGAAUUAACCCACAAAUGCAGGAAUGGUGACUCAAGUGACACCAUUACCAGUACAAGAGAGGAAAGCAGUGUUACAUUGCUGGCAUAUUUCCAGGAGGCCUGACUGGAUUUUUUUUUAAUGUAACACUUUAAA